UUUUGAAAUAGCACAAAUACUUUUAUUGCUUAUUGAGCUCUUGUGCUUGUGACGCACUCACUGUAUCAAGUGCUCUGUAUGGAAAUAGCAAGUGGGUGAAAAUCGCCUGGCUGUUCGCAACAUGCAGGGAGAAAGAGCUCAGGCAACACAGGAGCAGUAAAUGCGCAUUUUUUUAAAAAGCUCAUCUUUUUUUCAAUGUUGUUGCAUAUGUUGCAUUUCCGUCGUACAUGUUCUCAGCACAAUUGCAUAGUCGCACGGUUAUUUCUACAAAUCGUAUUUGACCUGAAUACACGCUUGUUGAUCUCUGAAGGUGACUCUCCCUAUGCCUGAGAGCCAUGGGUGCUCACCCUCCUGUCCGUGGCUGGCCCAGCUGAGCAGCAGUGCAGUGCAGCCCCCACCCAUGCAAGACAAGUCAUACAGUGCACCUUUGGUGUUCUGAGCACGACACAGCAUAUCCGUCCGGCAUGGCAUUGACAGCAAUAGUGAUGAUGUACCACGGGAUCAGGUGCCUCACUGUCAUCUAAUUGUACAGUGUAUCUCGGACAAAACGCACAAGGCCAACAAGUAGACAGCGACUACCAGUUGCUGUGUCCUGCUGUUCAAUGUGCACGUCAACAGACAGAAUGCAUUGUGAUAUCUGGAACAGUUUGAAUUGUAUGGUGAGAAUCUGCACAGCUGCAGUUUAAUUGUUGAGCAGUGCAUCAUUCAGCAAUUCUUUGCACUUGAGGAUUCAAAAUUAAUUAAAUUCCGCAUUUAAUAUACAAAACCUUGACAUUAAUGUACAGUACACUGUAGUAGUAGUGUGCAAAUUAAUUUCGGCUACCUUGAAUUUUUAACAUGCUCGUAAAUCAAAGUGCAUGUGUGUCUCUGCAUUUCACUGCCAUUAGAAACAGCAGCCAUGGUCGGCAACCAAAACCGUGUUUUCAUGUUUGGUAGUGCAAGAAUGAAACCAUUGAAGUGGGUAAUUUUGCACUUGGUCGAUAUAGUCGUUCAGGAUACGCGCAUUAGUAUAGCACAAAUGAUUUUCUGUUUAUAUAAGCUCUGGAAAGUCCUUCUCCACGGAUUAUUUAGAUGCAAGAGGAGCGUCACUAUUCCUAGUACGUCCAACAAGUUUUAGCACCUGUGUAAUGUUAUCCCGUCGCCUGUCUGUCCUCUUCAACAGUGACCCUCUCUGCAUGUACUGUGUAAGUUUUAAUUUUUUUUUCAUAUAGUGUUUGUUGCCAUAGGUUUCUCCAUUAUGUAAUUGUAUACUCUGCAAAUAGUUUAUCAUCUAUACAGCUUUGCUCAUUUUACAGCUGAAAGUAUUUAUUGCUUUUUGUAGGGUGAUUAUAGCAUGCAUUUACUUAUGCCUUUUGUUGCGUCUGUACAAUGGUUUAGCCUGAAGAAGGCUGUUGGUAUACUCUAAUCUUGAAACUGGCGACUUCAAACAAAUUUCUAGGCUGAUAACCAUUACUACUAUCAUCAGAUAAGCUGUGAUUGCUCCAUGAAAAUGUAUUUAAGAUUCUGUAAACUGUGCCAGGUAAAUGUUUUUAAAUGAUUUUAUUGUUGUCCAUGUUUUAUGCGCCCGAUACAUAAUUACUUCAUCGUGGUACAUUAUAAAAUGUUAUUCUGCACAUUUCUGCUGAUAAACAUUGCAGCUGAGGCCAGCAGCAAGAUAUACAUGCAAGGCACUGAAGCUUCACAUCACAUGCCUUGUCCAGAAGUGCACUGAAAUUUUUUUUCGAGCGGAAUGAGAGACUGCUAUACAGCAGUCUCUCAAUGUGCACACUUCUAAACCUUUUUGAGGAGUGUUUUCAGGAGAAGCAAUAGGGUCUUGACAUGUCAACAACAGCAUUUUUUGUACCGAGGAGCUUAGUAACAGCGAAUUGUUUUAUUUAUGUAUUGGUCCAGAAUUUGUCCGACCUGUGCCAAUUUUUCAGCCCACGUCACCUAACAUGGCUUGUUAUAGUGUUGUCAAUGUGCCCGACUAUGUAAAUAAACUAUGUGUCAUAUUGCAGACAUGUACCAAAAUGUGA
Rhipicephalus sanguineus (brown dog tick) is the source of this 2015-nucleotide long non-coding RNA. RefSeq lists it as uncharacterized. NCBI's taxonomy places the organism in Eukaryota, Metazoa, Arthropoda, Arachnida, Ixodida, Ixodidae. The record is from RefSeq and is a predicted model, not a curated record. The transcript has 2 exons.